This 1439-nucleotide ribosomal RNA is filed under the name uncultured organism. Its description in RNAcentral is "16S ribosomal RNA". It matches the Rfam family "Bacterial small subunit ribosomal RNA". The record is from RNAcentral.
CAGGCUUAACACAUGCAAGUCGAGGGGCAGCAUUUUAGUUUGCUUGCAAACUAAAGAUGGCGACCGGCGCACGGGUGAGUAACACGUAUCCAACCUGCCGAUAACUCGGGGAUAGCCUUUCGAAAGAAAGAUUAAUAUCCGAUAGUAUAUUAAAACCGCAUGGUUUUACUAUUAAAGAAUUUCGGUUAUCGAUGGGGAUGCGUUCCAUUAGUUUGUUGGCGGGGUAACGGCCCACCAAGACAACGAUGGAUAGGGGUUCUGAGAGGAAGGUCCCCCACAUUGGAACUGAGACACGGUCCAAACUCCUACGGGAGGCAGCAGUGAGGAAUAUUGGUCAAUGGACGAGAGUCUGAACCAGCCAAGUAGCGUGAAGGAUGACUGCCCUAUGGGUUGUAAACUUCUUUUAUAUGGGAAUAAAGUAUUCCACGUGUGGGAUUUUGUAUGUACCAUAUGAAUAAGGAUCGGCUAACUCCGUGCCAGCAGCCGCGGUAAUACGGAGGAUCCGAGCGUUAUCCGGAUUUAUUGGGUUUAAAGGGAGCGUAGGUGGAUUGUUAAGUCAGUUGUGAAAGUUUGCGGCUCAACCGUAAAAUUGCAGUUGAAACUGGCAGUCUUGAGUACAGUAGAGGUGGGCGGAAUUCGUGGUGUAGCGGUGAAAUGCUUAGAUAUCACGAAGAACUCCGAUUGCGAAGGCAGCUCACUAGACUGCAACUGACACUGAUGCUCGAAAGUGUGGGUAUCAAACAGGAUUAGAUACCCUGGUAGUCCACACAGUAAACGAUGAAUACUCGCUGUUUGCGAUAUACAGUAAGCGGCCAAGCGAAAGCAUUAAGUAUUCCACCUGGGGAGUACGCCGGCAACGGUGAAACUCAAAGGAAUUGACGGGGGCCCGCACAAGCGGAGGAACAUGUGGUUUAAUUCGAUGAUACGCGAGGAACCUUACCCGGGCUUAAAUUGCAUUUGAAUAAUCUGGAAACAGGUUAGCCGCAAGGCAAAUGUGAAGGUGCUGCAUGGUUGUCGUCAGCUCGUGCCGUGAGGUGUCGGCUUAAGUGCCAUAACGAGCGCAACCCUUAUCUUUAGUUACUAACAGGUCAUGCUGAGGACUCUAGAGAGACUGCCGUCGUAAGAUGUGAGGAAGGUGGGGAUGACGUCAAAUCAGCACGGCCCUUACGUCCGGGGCUACACACGUGUUACAAUGGGGGGUACAGAAGGCAGCUACCUGGCGACAGGAUGCUAAUCCCAAAAACCUCUCUCAGUUCGGAUCGAAGUCUGCAACCCGACUUCGUGAAGCUGGAUUCGCUAGUAAUCGCGCAUCAGCCAUGGCGCGGUGAAUACGUUCCCGGGCCUUGUACACACCGCCCGUCAAGCCAUGAAAGCCGGGGGUACCUGAAGUACGUAACCGCAAGGAGCGUCCUAGGGUAAAACUGGUAAUUGGGGCUAAG